UAGACUCCAAAUGUUGGGAAAAAGUCUCAUGCUUACGUUACUCUUACUGAUGGUUUAUUAUCUUGGACCACGAAGACCACAGUGCCAAUAAAGAGUGGGGAAGGGACGGAUUUGAGACUACCGACACUUCUAGCGCUAAUACAUAGAGCUCCCAGGUAGUGAAUUUUUUAGAAAGAGUGUUUCCUGGUUUUAUUAGAGUACAGGUUUUUUCCUCUUCUCCUCUCCGUGUGUAUUGAAUGAUGAAAUGAAUAGAGCCGCGUAGCAUGUAGCAUAGUGAAUGUUGAAAGCUUUGCGUACCAUUCUAAUUCUUAAUGAGGUGACAAGAUUCUUCUCCAAAUAGUCUAGGGGGACAUCCUCAAAGGCAACACUCAAAGCCGGUAUGCCUGGGUUGGAAUGAAUCUAGAACAUAACAGAAUUGAACUAAACUAGGAAAGAACAAAACUUCAACCACCUCAAGCGAAACCCUCAAGCUUUUUAAGGCUGUCCAUCAUCAUAUGUGUGUUGUGAAGCUGGUUCUGAACGUCAAGAGUUUUGAAAGACAACCUGCACCAAAAACUGCACCUCAAGCUGAUCCUUCACUCUGAGCUGGGGAAGGCAAUCAAGAUGCAACCAAAUAAACUUCAACGUACACUCCAUGUCUGCCGAAGACCUCCCAAAACCAACAAACCGUUCAGAAUAACUUUUUGCUCUGCCUCCAAACACUCCAAAUAAAAAAGGCAAGAGAGGCAAGCAUGAAUCAAGCAGCUCAACGUCCGCCCCAACAACUGAAGAAACUCCCAACAGCCCCAACAAGAACAAAUAAUCAGCAUCCAUAAGCUACAAAACUUUGAAAGCUUUUGGCACAAAAAAGUCUCCACCAAAAAACUUUUGCUUGGUCUAACUUGCACGAACUCUGCCUUUUGCAGUUGUAUAAAAAAACUUGUAGUCACAGUCGUGCAAUUAGCAACCAAAGACAGAAACAUAUCUAAACCAUGACUGGUACAUGUAACUUUUGCUAUGAUCAAAUACUUGGUCAAACUAAUGCAUAUAACUUCUGCUACGAGCAACUACAUGCAGAAUAUUAAAAACGACCACAAA
Long non-coding RNA from Rhododendron vialii, 1077 nucleotides. RefSeq lists it as uncharacterized. The transcript has 2 exons. NCBI's taxonomy places the organism in Eukaryota, Viridiplantae, Streptophyta, Magnoliopsida, Ericales, Ericaceae. The record is from RefSeq and is a predicted model, not a curated record.